This is a non-coding RNA of Ictidomys tridecemlineatus (thirteen-lined ground squirrel), 715 nucleotides long. The record is from RefSeq and is a predicted model, not a curated record. Lineage: Eukaryota; Metazoa; Chordata; Mammalia; Rodentia; Sciuridae.
UCCCCCCGACUCACCUUGCAGGAGCGUUUGGCAGCAGGACUCUGCGUGGGUUCCCUGUACUUUCUACGCUGGCAUCGUGGAACGCCUUUGCCAUCGCUUGAGCAAGCUGCCAGGCCACCUGGAGAGAGCCAAGGGACCCCAGCCGACCACCAGUCCCUGAGAAUGAGGCCAUCUCUGCUGAAUUCCUGUCUCACUGAGGACGUGCUUUUAAGCCAACUAGAAGAGCAAUUUAUGAGGAGAAAUCCACAUUGCCCCAUAUAGCUAGCUGGCCGCUGACUCAAGGCAAUAUAGAUCUUCCAAUUACCACUCUCCUGCUCCUGAUGUUGACCGGGGAUUCUUUUUCUAUUUUUAAAUAUUGUCAACCUGUAAAAUCUGGAAGGCACACGGACAACAGCGUCUUCCUAAUCUGAUAAAUACUUCCAGCAUUCACAUGCAUGUCUGUCAGGUUCCUGUUAGUACCAGACACUUCUAGGUGCUGGGAUACAAUCCCUGUCUGUGUACAGCAUAGGGAUUAAUGGAAAAGAAAAAAACAUUAACAUCCUAUCAGAAAGUUCCCUGUAACUGAGAGUGGACGUGCCCAGUGCCCGCAGUGCCCAAAGCAGAGCACAGAAAUUAGCUUUCAUAGGAAAUGACAUUUAGAAUAUGAGAUUCUACCCAACAGAAUGCAAUUAUCUCUUUGAACACCGACCAAUAAAGCUCAAUUCCAUUGUGAUAA